AGUGAACGCUGGCGGCAGGCCUAACACAUGCAAGUCGAACGGCAGCACAAGAGAGCUUGCUCUCUGGGUGGCGAGUGGCGGACGGGUGAGGAAUGCAUCGGAAUCUGCCCAUUUGUGGGGGAUAACCUCGGGAAACCGGGACUAAUACCGCAUACGACCUACGGGUGAAAGCAGGGGAUCUUCGGACCUUGCGCAGAUGGAUGAGCCGAUGCCGGAUUAGCUAGUUGGAGGGGUAAAGGCCCACCAAGGCGACGAUCCGUAGCUGGUCUGAGAGGAUGAUCAGCCACACUGGGACUGAGACACGGCCCAGACUCCUACGGGAGGCAGCAGUGGGGAAUAUUGGACAAUGGGCGCAAGCCUGAUCCAGCCAUGCCGCGUGUGUGAAGAAGGCCUUCGGGUUGUAAAGCACUUUUGUUGGGAAAGAAAAGCAGCCGGUUAAUACCCGGUUGUCAUGACGGUACCCAAAGAAUAAGCACCGGCUAGCUUCGUG
This 490-nucleotide ribosomal RNA is filed under the name uncultured bacterium. Its description in RNAcentral is "partial 16S ribosomal RNA". It matches the Rfam family "Bacterial small subunit ribosomal RNA", at positions 29 to 507 of the family's 1533-position model. The record is from RNAcentral.